CGCGCGCGAGCCUGACGCGGGGCAGCUGCAGUUCCCGGAGGUGGAGGCGCGACGGGCGGCGCCGCAGGGACCCAGAGGACACCAGUGCGUGACACCGGAGGCCUCCAGGCCAGGACUGCUCUCUGGCGGUGCUGCAAAGCUGGGUCUUUGUCUGGGAUUCCGACGGCCCACCGGCGUGUGGAACGAAUGCCCUUCCUCUCCCUGGAGCUUCUUAUCCUCAGACACAGUCUUGCUUGGCUGGCGAGAUCCUCACCUGGGGGUCGCAAACGACGGGGCUCCUCCCCCAGGCUUACCCGCCCCUUGACGCUGUCUGGACGGGUCCUCGCCAAACCCUGCUAACGGCUCUCCUUGCUGUUGAACUGUAGGUUCGUCCCUCGAUUCACCCGCAAAGAACCAAGCUCGCUCCUGCCCUGGACUCCCACACUCCUCGCGCCACCUCCCGGACCUGUAGAGCUGCAGACAAGCCAGGCGGCUCUCGAACCCUGACAGCUAAGUCGCUAAGGCCGCAGUGAUCGCUAGCUCUCACUACUGCUUUUCCUUCCUUUACUCUUGCUUUGUCGGCCUCUUGUGCCGUCUCUGCUGUUGUAAGCGAACCUCUUUCUCUGAUUGAUCACUUCUUUGUCCUCACUGGGCCUAGUCAUUCCCCUUCUAAUGAGUGAACCAAGGCCUUCCUUUUGGCGAGCAAUAGCCUUUUACUCGGAUACGCUGGAAGCCCUUAAAAACUACCGCAUCCCGCUCGAAGCGUACACCAACCCCCAGAAGGCCUGGGAGUUCCUGCGGGAAGUCAUCCUGGACGAGUUCCUGCAAGGCACCUAUCAGGACUACUCCCCCUCCGAGAUCGCCUUUUACCUAGGCAGGGACCCCUUCUCGGAGCUUCCCUCGGAGGGAAGCCCUUCCUUUCCUUAGCUCCCUGACUCUCUCCUCUUGCCCUCAGAUCACACACAAGCCUCACACUUAGCGACGAUGGCCCCCUAUCUCUGGAUCUUACUGCUCUGGACCAGUCAGCAUUGCCCGGUCUUAGAUGGGCCAGGCGCCUCUCUGCGACGGACUCAGCCCCAUGCAGAGGCAACAAACAACAGUCCUUGCUGGAUUCGUGGCCUUAUGCCGGUCUCCAGCACUUCGGGGCUGCCAUGGCGGGCCUCUCCCUCACGCGGGGCAGACUGGGCAGGGCUUCAGAAGUUCAUAGAUGAGAUGCGGAACGUGAGCUUUGUGCUCUCUGAGUACACGAUCCCUAAGUGCGGGGCAGCGAAGUGGCCGGGGGUCUCUUCUGGGGACGAGAGAGGCCAAGAAAAACCCUUUUCUUUCUACCAGUCAAAACCUGAAGGGCGAUAUGCUGACCUCAAAAUGAGUCAGAGGCGCCUCCCCUUAGCCCGGCAGCCUAGCGGCAGAUGCACCGAUGAGGGGGGUCCUCAGGUCUGGGGUGAAUACGUCUGGGUGGCUCCCCUGUUAGGAGUCCCUAGCCGGCAGGUGCUGCGCUGCCGGGAGCAGUCUGACCGCCCGGACUCUCUGUGGCUGGAUCUGAUUAGACACACGGGCGGGCUGCCUCCCCUAGUCUGCAAACAAGUCACAGUGCUACAGUGUACUGACUGGUUUGCCACCAAGGACAGAGGGGACCGGGGUCUAGAUGGCCGCUCCUAGUGGCACCAGUGGCUACGUGGACGGAGCCUGUGGCCCUGGCCAGCCGCCAGCCGGGUGGGGAGGUGCGCCUGAGGCUCGGUCCGGCCCAGGGUCAGAGGAUCAAAACCCGCUUUCCCUGCUAAUUUCCCUUGCUGGUCUGUGGCUGGACUAGGGCAGUCUUUCACUGGUAGAACCACUUAAACUUCUCUUUGUCCAGUAGUGGGAACAGACGGUGUCGUCUGGCAGAUAGAAGCCCUUAGGAACUAUACCCAGCGGCCCUGCACGGUGCUGUCCAGAGUGUCACUCUCAGACAUUCUGGAAGGAUCCAGACGAGAAAAGCAGUGCUCCAGAAGCCAACGGCUUUGGGGCAGGCGAAAGAGCUCGCUUGGCUAGCAUGCUGCUUCGCAUCCCAGGCUCAGGCCUGGCCCCCAACACGUUGAAGGAAGCUUCGGUGCUGUGGUCUCUCUCGCUUUCUCUGUGGUCUCUUUCACUCUGCCUUUCUGCUUCUGUGUCUAUUUCAAGAAGAAUCAAAUGGCUUUCGAUGUCCUUCUGCCGCCCGAGGUGGGGCCUGUGCUGUUUAGUCUGAAUGCUGUGUGUAUGUGCCCAGUUUCCCCCAGUGUCUCCUCUCCCUGCAGGAUGUGCUGACUAACAGCCGCGUCGCCUUCACUGACUUAAGUCUUGGCUGGGAGGCCGCUGGGCCGGGUCACCAAGCGCCUCUCUGCUCUCACCGGUCACUGUCAUUGGACUUGGCAUAACACCCUCUGUCUAAAUACCCGUGUCUCUCUCUCUGAUGACUCAGUGCACGUUCCCGAGAUGUAAGCCUCCUGCCACCCCAGGUACUCAAAGUACACUGAGGUGGUAGCCUGUCAUUGCCAGGACUUGGCCCCUGCUCUGUGGCAUGGUCCAGCCUGAAGAAGCUUUAGAAGACAGACCGUGGCCCAUAUUCAAAGACCUUCCUUGCUGUCUCGCAGAAAGGGGGGUGCAAAGGGCUACACUCGACCAGCUCGCCCAAAGCACGGCUGUGCAGUAGGCAAGGCUGACUGCACUCCCCGGUACCUUCUGUUCUAUAUUCUUGUGUCUUGUUUUCUUGAUACUAUACAUUUCUCGGUGUAUCCUGUUUUCCUGGUUCUGAUAAUUAUCUUGUUUUAUAAUGUAUAUUGAACCAACAGUAAGUCUCUUAAGUGAACCAUUAAGAACAAACACCAUCAUCCUCCCAAGUCAUGAGGCAAAUCAGACACAGAUGUGAAGCCAGAACAUGUAUUUCCAAAGCUGUAAGACUUCCUGGAAGCCUCAGUGCAGACUUUCUCUGUCUCUUUGUGGUUGGCUUCUCUCUGCCUCCUGCCCACUGUUCUAUUGUUGGCAAUUUUUCUAAUAAAUAUCUCCUUUGCUUCCUUCA
Erinaceus europaeus (western European hedgehog) is the source of this 3013-nucleotide long non-coding RNA. RefSeq lists it as uncharacterized. The transcript is spliced from 3 exons. Lineage: Eukaryota; Metazoa; Chordata; Mammalia; Eulipotyphla; Erinaceidae. The record is from RefSeq and is a predicted model, not a curated record.